AUGGGAACGCGAAGAACCUUACCUAGACUUGACAUCUCCUGAAUAGUGUAGAGAUACAUGAAGCCCUUCGGGGCAGGAAGACAGGUGGUGCAUGGUUGUCGUCAGCUCGUGUCGUGAGAUGUUGGGUUAAGUCCCGCAACGAGCGCAACCCUUAUUACUAGUUGCUACCAUUAAGUUGAGCACUCUAGUGAGACUGCCCGGGGUUAACCGGGAGGAAGGCGGGGAUGACGUCAAAUCAUCAUGCCCCGUUAUGUCUAGGGCAACACACGUGCUACAAUGGUGAGUACAGAUAGAUGCGAUACCGCAAGGUGGAGCCAAACUCUAAAACCUCAUCCCAGUUCGGAUUGUAGGCUGCAACUCGCCUACAUGAAGUUGGAGUUGCUAGUAAUCGCGAAUCAGAAUGUCGCGGUGAAUACGUUCCC
This 422-nucleotide ribosomal RNA is filed under the name uncultured bacterium. Its description in RNAcentral is "bacterial SSU rRNA". It matches the Rfam family "Bacterial small subunit ribosomal RNA", at positions 954 to 1375 of the family's 1533-position model. The record is from RNAcentral.